Molecule: ribosomal RNA, 468 nt
Filed under: uncultured bacterium
Lineage: Bacteria
Description: partial 16S ribosomal RNA
Rfam family: Bacterial small subunit ribosomal RNA
Source: RNAcentral
GACGAACGCUGGCGGCGUGCUUAACACAUGCAAGUCGAACGGAAAGGCCCUGCUUUUGUGGGGUGCUCGAGUGGCGAACGGGUGAGUAACACGUGAGUAACCUGCCCUUGACUUUGGGAUAACUUCAGGAAACUGGGGCUAAUACCGGAUAGGAGCUCCUGCUGCAUGGUGGGGGUUGGAAAGUUUCGGCGGUUGGGGAUGGACUCGCGGCUUAUCAGCUUGUUGGUGGGGUAGUGGCAUACCAAGGCUUUGACGGGUAGCCGGCCUGAGAGGGGGACCGGCCACGUUGGGACUGAGAUACGGCCCAGACUCCUACGGGAGGCAGCAGUGGGGAAUAGUGCACAACGGGCGGAAGCCUGAUGCAGCAACGCCGCGUGCGGGAUGACGGCCUUCGGGUUGGAAACCGCUUUCGCCUGUGACGAGGCGUGAGUGACGGUAAUGGGUAAAGAAGCACCGGCUAACUACGUG